UUUGUGUUUCUUUUUAGCUGUUUUGUUCUGUUUGAAUAACUUAGCAUUAUUUUUCUCAUCAGUGGGAGGAGUCAUAGUGACCAGCCAGUAACCAUAAAGCAGGACAUGGAUGCAUCCAAGUGUGCUUCCACAGAUCCCUUAACGUACAGGCUGUUCUAUCUGUGAUCAAAAUGAAAGUGCAGAAAGACACCAGCAGUGAAAUCCACACAAACUACUACACCAACAAUCACCUAUAUGGCAACAUGGAGGCUGAAGAGGCUGGUGACCAAUUCGAAUGUGUGAACAUAACAGGAAACGUGGGAGGAUAUAAAAAACAAUAGAGGUGGUGUUG
Molecule: long non-coding RNA, 331 nt
Organism: Coregonus clupeaformis (lake whitefish)
Lineage: Eukaryota; Metazoa; Chordata; Actinopteri; Salmoniformes; Salmonidae
Exons: 3
Source: RefSeq, a predicted model, not a curated record